RNAcentral lists this ribosomal RNA (254 nucleotides) under uncultured bacterium. RNAcentral's name for it is "partial 16S ribosomal RNA". It matches the Rfam family "Bacterial small subunit ribosomal RNA", at positions 524 to 776 of the family's 1533-position model. The record is from RNAcentral.
UACGUAGGGUGCAAGCGUUAAUCGGAAUUACUGGGCGUAAAGCGUGCGCAGGCGGUUUUUGUAAGUCUGUCGUGAAAGCCCCGGGCUCAACCUGGGAAUUGCGAUGGAGACUGCAAGGCUUGAAUCUGGCAGAGGGGGGUAGAAUUCCACGUGUAGCAGUGAAAUGCGUAGAGAUGUGGAGGAACACCGAUGGCGAAGGCAGCCCCCUGGGUCAAGAUUGACGCUCAUGCACGAAAGCGUGGGGAGCAAACAGG